AAAUCAUUUAAUAUAUUGCUUAAUAUUUGAAUUCAAAUUCAAACAACAAACAAUGUCGCCAUGUGUCAAGCAAUGGGUCCAUUCGCCAUGCAAUAAUUUUGGUUUAUUUAAAAUUCAUGAAAUCCAAUUCCAUGUCACCACUAAUUGCCGCAUCAUCUGAGCCUAAUCCUCUUGGGUUGCACCUAAUCAAAUUUGGUCAAACCUAGAUUAAAACAAAGCAAUUUGGUUGAACCCAGUCUAAUCAGAUCAGACCCUGAUU
RNAcentral lists this long non-coding RNA (259 nucleotides) under Phoenix dactylifera (date palm). RNAcentral's name for it is "long non-coding RNA (PDAC_LNC013581)". Lineage: Eukaryota; Viridiplantae; Streptophyta; Magnoliopsida; Arecales; Arecaceae. The record is from RNAcentral.